CCUACGGGAUGCAGCAGUGGGGAAUAUUGGACAAUGGGCGCAAGCCUGAUCCAGCCAUGCCGCGUGAGUGAAGAAGGCCUUAGGGUUGUAAAGCUCUUUCACCGGUGAAGAUAAUGACGGUAACCGGAGAAGAAGCCCCGGCUAACUUCGUGCCAGCAGCCGCGGUAAGACGGGGGGGGCAAGUGUUCUUCGGAAUGACUGGGCGUAAAGGGCACGUAGGCGGUGAAUCGGGUUGAAAGUGAAAGUCGCCAAAAACUGGCGGAAGACUCUCGAAACCAAUUCACUUGAGUGAGACAGAGGAGAGUGGAAUUUCGUGUGUAGGGGUGAAAUCCGGAGAUCUACGAAGGAACGCCAAAAGCGAAGGCAGCUCUCCGGGUCCCUACCGACGCUGGAGUGCGAAAGCAUGGGGAGCGAACGGGAUUAGAUACCCUUGUAGUC
RNAcentral lists this ribosomal RNA (438 nucleotides) under uncultured bacterium. Its description in RNAcentral is "bacterial SSU rRNA". It matches the Rfam family "Bacterial small subunit ribosomal RNA", at positions 338 to 795 of the family's 1533-position model. The record is from RNAcentral.